AACAUUUGUUUUGGAUAAAAAGUGAGUUACAUCAGUUAUUAACUCAACAUGUAAAUGCAGUAUAUCACAGAUACAUGACAGAGGAGACUGACUCUUGUCUGGAUGUUACAGGGACAGAUGAGACACAUGUGUGUUUAUCUGCUGUAGAGUAACUGAUGAAGAAAUGCUGCCAUCAAAAAGGAUUUAUCUUUUUUGGUGCAGCAGGACCUGCAAGGAAAGGUGAAAAAGAAGGAAAACCUGAAACAAAAGAAUAAUGUAGUCGUGCUCAUGGAGAGCAGGCACACGAAAGUUUGGAGCAGACACAGCAGUCAGAUUGUCCGGCACGUGUUCUUCUGCUCUAGCUUCAAGGUUGUGUGGUUCAGAGAGCCGUCAUCAAGGUCUUCUUCAUCCUGUUGCUCAACGACAUCCCCGUUGAGAAGAGUGAGAUUGUGAAGUGCAGAAGCAGAACUGUAUCAGCUGCGUUCAGAUGGCAGGAGGAUGUUGGGUUCACCAUCUGUAAAUACAUGUUUGUUAGAACAAUAAGUUUGAAUGAAGCUUUGUAUCAUGUGUUGUUGACUUGUACAUGUAUGCAUUUAUUGUGAUGCUAACUUUUAUACAU
Molecule: long non-coding RNA, 598 nt
Organism: Carassius carassius (crucian carp)
Lineage: Eukaryota; Metazoa; Chordata; Actinopteri; Cypriniformes; Cyprinidae
Exons: 3
Source: RefSeq, a predicted model, not a curated record